AUGAACGCUAGCGGCAGGCUUAACACAUGCAAGUCGAGGGGUAUAGUUCUUCGGAACUAGAGACCGGCGCACGGGUGCGUAACGCGUAUGCAAUCUACCUUUUACAGAGGGAUAGCCCAGAGAAAUUUGGAUUAAUACCUCAUAGUAUUAUGAAAUGGCAUCAUUUUAUAAUUAAAGUCACAACGGUAAAAGAUGAGCAUGCGUCCCAUUAGCUAGUUGGUAAGGUAACGGCUUACCAAGGCUACGAUGGGUAGGGGUCCUGAGAGGGAGAUCCCCCACACUGGUACUGAGACACGGACCAGACUCCUACGGGAGGCAGCAGUGAGGAAUAUUGGACAAUGGGCGCAAGCCUGAUCCAGCCAUGCCGCGUGCAGGAUGACGGUCCUAUGGAUUGUAAACUGCUUUUAUACGAGAAGAAACACUACUUCGUGAAGUAGCUUGACGGUAUCGUAAGAAUAAGGAUCGGCUAACUCCGU
This 476-nucleotide ribosomal RNA is filed under the name uncultured bacterium. RNAcentral's name for it is "bacterial SSU rRNA". It matches the Rfam family "Bacterial small subunit ribosomal RNA", at positions 29 to 506 of the family's 1533-position model. The record is from RNAcentral.